This 72-nucleotide transfer RNA is filed under the name Galerina marginata CBS 339.88. RNAcentral describes it as "tRNA-Thr (TGT) (tRNA-Thr-TGT-1-1)". It matches the Rfam family "tRNA". From Rfam's summary of the family: Transfer RNA (tRNA) molecules are approximately 80 nucleotides in length. Their secondary structure includes four short double-helical elements and three loops (D, anti-codon, and T loops). Further hydrogen bonds mediate the characteristic L-shaped molecular structure. tRNAs have two regions of fundamental functional importance: the anti-codon, which is responsible for specific mRNA codon recognition, and the 3' end, to which the tRNAs corresponding amino acid is attached (by aminoacyl-tRNA synthetases). tRNAs cope with the degeneracy of the genetic code in two manners: having more than one tRNA (with a specific anti-codon) for a particular amino acid; and 'wobble' base-pairing, i.e. permitting non-standard base-pairing at the 3rd anti-codon position. The record is from RNAcentral. Lineage: Eukaryota; Fungi; Basidiomycota; Agaricomycetes; Agaricales; Galerinaceae.
GCCGCAAUAGCGUAGUGGUAGCGCGUCUCACUUGUAAUGAGAAGGUCACUCGUUCAAUCCGGGUUUGUGGCA